Molecule: ribosomal RNA, 402 nt
Filed under: uncultured bacterium
Lineage: Bacteria
Description: partial 16S ribosomal RNA
Rfam family: Archaeal small subunit ribosomal RNA
Source: RNAcentral
ACACCGGCAGCUCAAGUGGUAGCCGCUUUUAUUGGGCCUAAAGCGUCCGUAGCCGGCCUGAUAAGUCUCUGGUGAAAUCCCGCAGCUUAACUGUGGGAAUUGCUGGAGAUACUAUCAUGACUCGAGGUCGGGAGAGGCUGGAGGUACUCCCAGGGUAGGGGUGAAAUCCUGUAAUCCUGGGAGGACCACCUGUGGCGAAGGCGUCCAGCUGGAACGAACCGGACGGUGAGGGACGAAAGCCAGGGGCGCGAACCGGAUUAGAUACCCGGGUAGUCCUGGCCGUAAACGAUGUGGACUUGGUGUUGGGAUGGCUUCGAGCUGCCCCAGUGCCGAAGGGAAGCUGUUAAGUCCACCGCCUGGGAAGUACGGCCGCAAGGCUGAAACUCAAAGGAAUUGACGGGG